This 213-nucleotide unclassified non-coding RNA is filed under the name uncultured Gemmatimonadaceae bacterium. Its description in RNAcentral is "contains 16S-23S intergenic spacer region". It matches the Rfam family "Bacterial small subunit ribosomal RNA", at positions 976 to 1187 of the family's 1533-position model. The record is from RNAcentral. Lineage: Bacteria; Pseudomonadati; Gemmatimonadota; Gemmatimonadia; Gemmatimonadales; Gemmatimonadaceae.
UGGGCUUGACAUGCAGGGGAAAGCUGGGGGAAACCUCGGCCCUCCUUCGGGACUCCUGUACAGGUGCUGCAUGGCUGUCGUCAGCUCGUGUCGUGAGAUGUUGGGUUAAGUCCCGCAACGAGCGCAACCCUUGUCACUAGUUACCAGCGGGUAAAGCCGGGAACUCUAGUGAGACUGCCGGUGCCAAACCGGAGGAAGGUGGGGAUGACGUCC